ACAGCACCGUCAUUUGUUUCGGGGAAUGCAAAAGAGGUUUCAACAACUAACAGGGCAUGUUUCUGAGCAAAAUACGUCCCUUACAUGAUGUCGGAACACAUAUUGUCGGAGGCCACUGGUGGGUCUGUGUUCUCGCAAACAAACUCGUGGAGGCGAGUGAGGAAGGUCACUUCCAGCCGCCUCCCUCAGCCACAGGCCACCCUCCUCUGUCCACAGACAGACCAGACGGCAGGGAUGCAUUUGGAGGGCCAGGCCCCCUGAGGCCCUCACCUGACCAGCGCACCUCAGGACCAGGAGUCUCAGGUGUGGCCGAUGCUCUUCCUAAAGGCAGAUGCGGGCGAGGCUGACUCAUUUGGGCAAAGAAUGUCGUCAGUGUUUGAGAAGAUGGUGGAGAAAGGAGCAGUCCCAGGGCUUUCUCAUCCAGAAAGAGGCUGAUGCCAACAGAGGAAAAGACGGAGAUGCUCCAUCUUAAAAGAGACCGAGGAGGUAGGACAAGGAAAUGCCAAGCCUGAUGCUGGAACUGCGCUGAAGGGGAAAGUGCUGGGCGGGGCCUUGCACGGCCACCUGACAG
Molecule: long non-coding RNA, 571 nt
Organism: Myotis brandtii (Brandt's bat)
Lineage: Eukaryota; Metazoa; Chordata; Mammalia; Chiroptera; Vespertilionidae
Exons: 3
Source: RefSeq, a predicted model, not a curated record